Molecule: ribosomal RNA, 497 nt
Filed under: uncultured bacterium
Lineage: Bacteria
Description: partial 16S ribosomal RNA
Rfam family: Bacterial small subunit ribosomal RNA
Source: RNAcentral
GAUGAACGCUGGCGGCGUGCCUAAUACAUGCAAGUCGAGCGAACGGACGAGAAGCUUGCUUCUCUGAUGUUAGCGGCGGACGGGUGAGUAACACGUGGAUAACCUACCUAUAAGACUGGGAUAACUUCGGGAAACCGGAGCUAAUACCGGAUAAUAUUUUGAACCGCAUGGUUAAAAAGUGAAAGACGGUCUUGCUGUCACUUAUAGAUGGAUCCGCGCUGCAUUAGCUAGUUGGUAAGGUAACGGCUUACCAAGGCAACGAUGCAUAGCCGACCUGAGAGGGUGAUCGGCCACACUGGAACUGGGACACGGUCCAGACUCCUACGGGAGGCAGCAGUAGGGAAUCUUCCGCAAUGGGCGAAAGCCUGACGGAGCAACGCCGCGUGAGUGAUGAAGGUCUUCGGAUCGUAAAACUCUGUUAUUAGGGAAGAACAUAUGUGUAAGUAACUGUGCACAUCUUGACGGUACCUAAUCAGAAAGCCACGGCUAACUACGUG